GCUACGGGAGGCAGCAGUGAGGAAUAUUGGUCAAUGGGCGGGAGCCUGAACCAGCCAAGUCGCGUGAGGGAAGACGGUCCUACGGAUUGUAAACCUCUUUUGCCGGGGAGCAACGGGGUCCUUGCGAGGGCCCGAGGAGAGUACCCGGAGAAAAAGCAUGGUCUAACUCCGUGCCAGCAGCCGCGGUAAUACGGAGUUUCCGAGCGUUAUCCGGAUUUAUUGGGUUUAAAGGGAGCGUAGAUGGGUUGUUAAGUCAGUUGUGAAAGUUUGCGGCUCAACCGUAAAAUUGCAAUUGAUACUGGCAGUCUUGAGUACAGUUGAGGUAGGCGGAAUUCGUGGUGUAGCGGUGAAAUGCUUAGAUAUCACGAAGAACCCCGAUUGCGAAGGCAGCUUACUAAACUGUGACUGACAUUGAUGCUCGAAAGUGUGGGUAUCAAACAGGAUUAGAUACCCCUGUAGUC
Molecule: ribosomal RNA, 461 nt
Filed under: uncultured bacterium
Lineage: Bacteria
Description: partial 16S ribosomal RNA
Rfam family: Bacterial small subunit ribosomal RNA
Source: RNAcentral